RNAcentral lists this ribosomal RNA (497 nucleotides) under uncultured bacterium. RNAcentral's name for it is "partial 16S ribosomal RNA". It matches the Rfam family "Bacterial small subunit ribosomal RNA", at positions 28 to 507 of the family's 1533-position model. The record is from RNAcentral.
GAUGAACGCUGGCGGCGUGCCUAAUACACGCAAGUCGAGCGAACAGACGAGGAGCUUGCUCCUCUGACGUUAGCGGCGGACGGGUGAGUAACACGUGGAUAACCUACCUAUAAGACUGGGAUAACUUCGGGAAACCGGAGCUAAUACCGGAUAACAUGUUGAACCGCAUGGUUCAACAGUGAAAGACGGUCUUGCUGUCACUUAUAGAUGGAUCCGCGCCGCAUUAGCUAGUUGGUAAGGUAACGGCUUACCAAGGCAACGAUGCGUAGCCGACCUGAGAGGGUGAUCGGCCACACUGGAACUGAGACACGGUCCAGACUCCUACGGGAGGCAGCAGUAGGGAAUCUUCCGCAAUGGGCGAAAGCCUGACGGAGCAACGCCGCGUGAGUGAAGAAGGUCUUCGGAUCGUAAAACUCUGUUAUUAGGGAAGAACAAAUGUGUAAGUAACUAUGCACGUCUUGACGGUACCUAAUCAGAAAGCCACGGCUAACUACGUG